RNAcentral lists this ribosomal RNA (1302 nucleotides) under metagenome. Its description in RNAcentral is "bacterial LSU rRNA". It matches the Rfam family "Bacterial large subunit ribosomal RNA", at positions 1575 to 2886 of the family's 2925-position model. The record is from RNAcentral.
CGCUACGGCGUCGAAGCAGUCUAUGUCAUACUUCCAAGAAAAGCUUGCACUGUCAUAAACAAAUAAUGCCUGUACCAUAACCGACACAGGUGGGUAGGUAGAGUAUACUAAGGGGCGCGAGAUAACUCUCUCUAAGGAACUCGGCAAAAUGACUCCGUAACUUCGGGAGAAGGAGUGCCUUAUUUAUAAGGUUGCAAUAACAAGAUCCAAGCAACUGUUUACCAAAAACACAGGUCUCCGCUAAGUCGUAAGACGAUGUAUGGGGGCUGACGCCUGCCCAGUGCCAGAAGGUUAAAGAAGUUGGUUAGCAUCCGCGAAGCUGAUAACUGAAGCCCUGGUGAACGGCGGCCGUAACAAUAACGGUCCUAAGGUAGCGAAAUUCCUUGUCGGGUAAGUUCCGACCCGCACGAAAGGCGUAAUGAUUUGGAUACUGUCUCGGAGAGGGGCUCGGUGAAAUAGACUUGUCUGUGAAGAUGCGGACUACCUGCACCAGGACAGAAAGACCCUAUGAAGCUUUACUGUAACCUGAAAUUGAAAUUGGACUUUACUUGCGCAGUAUAGGUGGGAGGCGUUGAGAAUAUUCUUGCGGGAUUAUUGGAGCCAUCAGUGAGAUACCACUCUUGUAAUGUUAGAUUUCUAACUUUGUAUCAUUAUCUGGUCAAAGAACAGUUUCAGGCGGGCAGUUUGACUGGGGCGGUCGCCUCCUAAACGGUAACGGAGGCGCACAAAGGUUUCCUCUGAACGGGUAGAAAUCGUAUCUAGAGUGUAAAGGCAUAAGGAAGCUUGACUGUGAGACCUACAAGUCGAGCAGGGACGAAAGUCGGUCUUAGUGAUCUGACGGUGCUGAGUGGAAAGGCCGUCACUCAACGGAUAAAAGUUACUCUAGGAUAACAGGCUGAUCUCCCCCAAGAGUUCACAUCGACGGGGAGGUUUGGCACCUCGAUGUCGGCUCAUCGCAUCCUGGGGCGGUAGUACGUCCCAAGGGUUGGGCUGUUCGCCCAUGAAAGCGGUACGCGAGCUGGGUUCAGAACGUCGUGAGACAGUUCGGUCCAUAUCCGGUGUAGGCGUUAGAAUAUUGAGAGGAGCCUUCUUUAGUACGAGAGGACCGAGAAGGACAUACCUCUGGUGUACCAGUUAUCGUGCCAACGGUAAACGCUGGGUAGCUAUGUGUGGAGUGGAUAACCGCUGAAAGCAUCUAAGUGGGAAGCCCACCUCAAGAUGAGUACUCCCAUGGGGUUAACCCAGUAAGGACACGGGAAGACCACCCGUUUAUAGGUUCUAGAUGGAAGUCCAGCAAUGGAU